Molecule: ribosomal RNA, 588 nt
Filed under: uncultured bacterium
Lineage: Bacteria
Description: partial 16S ribosomal RNA
Rfam family: Bacterial small subunit ribosomal RNA
Source: RNAcentral
UGGGGAAUUUUGGACAAUGGGCGCAAGCCUGAUCCAGCCAUUCCGCGUGCAGGAUGAAGGCCCUCGGGUUGUAAACUGCUUUUGUACGGAACGAAAAGGCUUUCUCUAAUACAGAGAGCUCAUGACGGUACCGUAAGAAUAAGCACCGGCUAACUACGUGCCAGCAGCCGCGGUAAUACGUAGGGUGCAAGCGUUAAUCGGAAUUACUGGGCGUAAAGCGUGCGCAGGCGGUGAUGUAAGACAGAUGUGAAAUCCCCGGGCUCAACCUGGGAACUGCAUUUUGUGACUGCAUCGCUGGAGUGCGGCAGAGGGGGGAUGGAAUUCCGCGUGUAGCAGUGAAUGCGUAGAUAUGCGGAGGAACACCGAUGGCGAAGGCAAUCCCCUGGGCCUGCACUGACGCUCAUGCACGAAAAGCGUGGGGAGCAAAACAGGAUUAGAUACCCUGGUAGUCCACGCCCUAAACGAUGUCAACUGGUUGUUGGGUCUUCACUGACUCAGUAACGAAGCUAACGCGUGAAGUUGACCGCCUGGGGAGUACGGCCGCAAGGUUGAAACUUAAAUGAAUUGACGGGGUCAUAGCUGUUUCCU